GGUCUGUCAAGUCGGAUGUGAAAUCCCCGGGCUCAACCUGGGAACUGCAUUCGAAACUGGCAGGCUUGAGUCUUGUAGAGGGGGGUAGAAUUCCAGGUGUAGCGGUGAAAUGCGUAGAGAUCUGGAGGAAUACCGGUGGCGAAGGCGGCCCCCUGGACAAAGACUGACGCUCAGGUGCGAAAGCGUGGGGAGCAAACAGGAUUAGAUACCCUGGUAGUCCACGCCGUAAACGAUGUCUACUUGGAGGUUGUGCCCUUGAGGCGUGGCUUCCGGAGCUAACGCGUUAAGUAGACCGCCUGGGGAGUACGGCCGCAAGGUUAAAACUCAAAUGAAUUGACGGGGGCCCGCACAAGCGGUGGAGCAUGUGGUUUAAUUCGAUGCAACGCGAAGAACCUUACCUGGUCUUGACAUCCACAGAAUUCUGCAGAGAUGCGGAAGUGCCUUCGGGAACUGUGAGACAGGUGCUGCAUGGCUGUCGUCAGCUCGUGUUGUGAAAUGUUGGGUUAAGUCCCGCAACGAGCGCAACCCUUAUCCUUUGUUGCC
RNAcentral lists this ribosomal RNA (543 nucleotides) under Salmonella enterica. RNAcentral describes it as "bacterial SSU rRNA". It matches the Rfam family "Bacterial small subunit ribosomal RNA", at positions 577 to 1119 of the family's 1533-position model. Lineage: Bacteria; Pseudomonadati; Pseudomonadota; Gammaproteobacteria; Enterobacterales; Enterobacteriaceae. RNAcentral also lists the same sequence under 1 other name. The record is from RNAcentral.